Molecule: ribosomal RNA, 400 nt
Filed under: uncultured bacterium
Lineage: Bacteria
Description: bacterial SSU rRNA
Rfam family: Bacterial small subunit ribosomal RNA
Source: RNAcentral
AAUGGGCGAAAGCCUGACGCAGCGACGCCGCGUGGGGGAUGAAGGUCUUCGGAUUGUAAACCCCUUUCGGGAGGGAAGAUGGAGCGAGCAAUCGUUCGGACGGUACCUCCAGAAGCAGCCACGGCCAACUUCGUGCCAGCAGCCGCGGUAAUACGAAGGUGGCAAGCGUUGUUCGGAUUCACUGGGCGUACAGGGUGUGUAGGCGGUUUGGUAAGCCUUCUGUUAAAGCUUCGGGCCCAACCCGGAAAGCGCAGAGGGUACUGCCAGGCUAGAGGGUGGGAGAGGAGCGCGGAAUUCCCGGUGUAGCGGUGAAAUGCGUAGAGAUCGGGAGGAAGGCCGGUGGCGAAGGCGGCGCUCUGGAACAUACCUGACGCUGAGACACGAAAGCGUGGGGAGCAAA